Molecule: non-coding RNA, 72 nt
Organism: Myotis brandtii (Brandt's bat)
Lineage: Eukaryota; Metazoa; Chordata; Mammalia; Chiroptera; Vespertilionidae
Source: Rfam
GCCGGUGGUGCUCAGUGGGUAGAGCAUCGGUCUGCGGACCGAAGGUCCCGGGUUCAAUUCCGGUCAAGGGCA